GGUUUGAUUCUGGCUCCAGAUUGAACGCUGGCGGGAUGCUUUACACAUGCAAGUCGAACGGCAGCACGGACUUCGGUCUGGUGGCGAGUGGCGAACGGGUGAGUAAUGUAUCGGAACGUGCCCUAGUAGCGGGGGAUAACUACGCGAAAGCGUAGCUAAUACCGCAUACGCCCUUCGGGGGAAAGCGGGGGACCUUCGGGCUUUUCUCCUUUGCUAUUAGAACUCGGCCGAUAUCGGAUUAGCUACGCUUUCGCGUAGUUAUCCCCCCGCUACUAGGCACGUUCCGAUACAUUACUCACCCGUUCGCCACUCGCUAUAGACCGAAAAUCUGACUUUAUAAAGCAGAAGCCACUAUUACCUGUUUCCC
This 367-nucleotide unclassified non-coding RNA is filed under the name uncultured Bordetella sp. RNAcentral's name for it is "partial 16S-23S ribosomal RNA intergenic spacer". It matches the Rfam family "Bacterial small subunit ribosomal RNA", at positions 10 to 289 of the family's 1533-position model. The record is from RNAcentral. Lineage: Bacteria; Pseudomonadati; Pseudomonadota; Betaproteobacteria; Burkholderiales; Alcaligenaceae.